Molecule: long non-coding RNA, 1107 nt
Organism: Neodiprion fabricii
Lineage: Eukaryota; Metazoa; Arthropoda; Insecta; Hymenoptera; Diprionidae
Exons: 3
Source: RefSeq, a predicted model, not a curated record
GAGCAAAAUGAUUGUGAUGAAAAAAAAAGUGUGUGUGUGUCAGCUCCGACGCACGACUGGAGUUUACUCCUUACGAAGGAUAAUUAUGAUAUAUAUCGAAUAGAAAAAGAGGCAUGCAUACCCUGUACUCGGCGGCAGCAUGUAAGUUACGGCAGAACUUCGUAAUACGCAGGCACAUAACACACACGUACAAACAUACGCACUCAUUCAACUCUCAGCCAGAGGUAGUGAACUCGAACAGUGAGACUACGAAGCAUCGUACAAAGAGGAGACCCCGAGUAUAGGAUACGCUAUUAUCAUGGUUUCUAAAUGCAGUUUUGAAGUGCGUUACAAUUACGUUCUCGACAACUGAGCCCGAGGAGGAUAUCUUGAACUGAGUCAUGUGUUUAUAGGGUGUAUUCCGAAAUAUUGUGAUAUCGACGGUACCUAGUGGAAAUUUCCACAUGCUAGACACUGGAAUCGUUCACACAGCUGCAGCUAGACUCUCAGUAGUUUGGGUCACCAAUUACCAAUAAAGUAUAGAAAUACACCGGACAACGGUCAUUCUAUCGCUCCAAUCGAACGAACCGAGGAAGGAGUAAUUGUUGGAUGAAAGAUUUAAUUAAUUGGCUUACCUUUUGAGAAUAAUCUGGAUAUGAUGAAUUGCAGCGUAGAUUGGUAAUAUAUUAAUAUAUUCGGACAUAGUUGCUAUUUGCUUAAUAUUAUUAGGAUUGCGCUGCUGCGAGUAUUCUUAGGUGUUUGUGUUAUAACAAUCUUAACAGAUUUAGGGUAUUUAACAAUUUGAUAAUUCGUAGUUUUAGAGUAGGUUUACAUGUGUGCUUUCGUAUAAUUCUCUUCUGUAAUUAUUGAUUCUUAUAUUGAUAUAGAUCGGCUUGGAAGGUAUUAGAGCGUUGUUCUUAUGUUUGUUGGUUGCCUGAUACUGGGCGUUGCCACGUAUCACGGUCUUACAUACAUGUCUUGCAACUCUGGUGGUGGGGGUGACUCACUUCUUGAGUCCGCUUUCUAUAAUUCUUAGAUUGGCCGCAAGGGUUGCUGUAACCUAGUAGGGUCACCCGUGUCACUUGUGAGCGACAGAGAUAGAAAAAAUUUCUCUCUGUUGGCGCAAGC